CGCGUAGGCGGUUAGAUAAGUUGGAUGUGAAAUCCCUGGGCUUAACCUAGGAACUGCAUACAAUACUGUUUAACUGGAGUGCAGUAGAGGGUAGUGGAAUUUCCGGUGUAGCGGUGAAAUGCGUAGAUAUCGGAAGGAACACCAGUGGCGAAGGCGGCUACCUGGACUGACACUGACGCUGAAGCGCGAGAGCGUGGGAGCAAACA
Molecule: ribosomal RNA, 206 nt
Filed under: uncultured bacterium
Lineage: Bacteria
Description: partial 16S ribosomal RNA
Rfam family: Bacterial small subunit ribosomal RNA
Source: RNAcentral